UGGCUCUAACAUUCAAGUGAAGUAAAUG
Molecule: non-coding RNA, 28 nt
Filed under: Homo sapiens (human)
Lineage: Eukaryota; Metazoa; Chordata; Mammalia; Primates; Hominidae
Source: RNAcentral